GAUCAUGGCUCAGGAUGAACGCUAGCUACGGGCUUAACACAUGCAAGUCGAGGGGAAACGACAUCGAAAGCUUGCUUUUGAUGGGCGUCGACCGGCGCACGGGUGAGUAACGCGUAUCCAACCUGCCCAUCACUUGGGAAUAACCUUGCGAAAGUAAGACUAAUGCCCAAUGAUAUCCCACGAAGGCAUCCGAAUGGGAUUAAAGAUUUAUCGGCGAUGGAUGGGGAUGCGU
This 232-nucleotide ribosomal RNA is filed under the name uncultured bacterium. RNAcentral's name for it is "partial 16S ribosomal RNA". It matches the Rfam family "Bacterial small subunit ribosomal RNA", at positions 15 to 236 of the family's 1533-position model. The record is from RNAcentral.